GUGAGUCAUCGAGUCUUUGAACGCACCUUGCGCCCCUUGGUAUUCCGAGGGGCAUGCCUGUUUGAGUGUCUUGAAACCAUCAAACCUAACCGGUCUUUGUUGGCCGGCGCGGUUUGGUACGUGGGGGUCUCUUGGCUGCCGUUAGCGGUGGCUCCCUUAAAUUCAUCGGUCGGGCUUUCGUGCGGCUCUGUCCCUUGGCGUUGUAUUACCCUCGUCGCUGGACGGCUCGCGAUACAGUGCCCGACUUCGACCUGCCUAUGGAGUGGCGGUCUUCAACGCGAUUUUUGUGAUCUGACCUCAAAUUCAGGUAGGACUACCCGCUGAACUUAAGCAUAUCAAUAAGCGGAGG
This 349-nucleotide ribosomal RNA is filed under the name uncultured fungus. RNAcentral's name for it is "eukaryotic LSU rRNA". The stretch from base 1 to 71 matches the Rfam family "5.8S ribosomal RNA", at positions 84 to 154 of the family's 154-position model. The record is from RNAcentral. Lineage: Eukaryota; Fungi.